UGUGCAAUGGUAUUAGAAAUAACCUUAUCCCCUCUCACAUCUAGUAUUUUUAAUGAAUCCUUUAACAACUGGUAUCUAGGUAUUUCUGAGGUGCUGUCCAUCAGCUGGAUGUUCACAGUUCCUCCCAAAGCUCCAUAACACUGAGCUCCAUCCUGUCUGCCAUCACAACUGAACACAGUUAUGUUCCCCUUGGGAAGCACCUUCAAAAACUUCAUUUCACGGCCACUAGCAUUAGUCAUCACUUGGAUAUACACAGUUCCUUUAAGAAGAGGAGAGCAUGGACAUGUGUUCUUGGUAAGAUUACAUGUGGUCUCAUCAACUGGAAAGAAAGCUGGAAAAGAUGCAUUCAAAAGAUUGUGAGUUUAAAUUAUUCACACUCCAAAUGUACAUUUUUGGCAUCAUUUUGAGGACAAUCUUACCAUGAGUUCCUGCUACUACUAGCAAAAGGAUUAGAAACUGCUCCAUGAUCCUUAUUCAUCCACGCUUUGGUUUGAAUCUUGAAAAGUAAAUUUAAAAAAAUGCACUUUAAAAAUGAAAUGAAAUUAUGAGCAAAUCUGGCUAUAAAUCUGCUGGGACCUUUAGUUCACACUGAAACAGUAAAUGGGUGAUGAUGUAGACACAGUAUUUUUGUAAAAAGAAUAAAAUAAGCUAAACUGUCUUACUUCUCCUUCUCAUUUUCCUCUCCCUGUUUUAAUUGUACUUGCAAAACUGAGUCUAGACAACACUGUAUCUGUUGUGGCCAUUUUUGUUGAAUGUUUAUAAAAUGCAAUUUGUAUUCAUUUUUGUUUUUUCUUUAAAGGUGUAAGAAUAUACUGACCUGGUUUUGUUAUGUAAAUUUGUAAUAAAUUUUAUUGGAGAAGCUUUUGGAAAGCUUUUGGUUUAUUAGCUUAUGGACCCUCCCAUUAAUCAAGAGAUUAAGAGCACCCUGGAUGGGUGUGGUAAAGAGGUUUUUUGUUUGCCAAAUGUCAGAUGGGAAGACGGGAGGGUUAGAAAAUGAUUUUUGGAACACUUUUGAAGUUGUUAAAGCAAAUUAAGUUAACUUUCAUUUAAUUUUAAGUUUUAAGAAGUUAUUUGGCUGAUUUCUGUUUGUAAUUUUCCACGA
Long non-coding RNA from Astatotilapia calliptera (eastern happy), 1102 nucleotides. The record is from Ensembl. Lineage: Eukaryota; Metazoa; Chordata; Actinopteri; Cichliformes; Cichlidae.